AUGGCUCCUCUGUGUUUGGGAGCCAGUGAGGUGGAGGGCAGGAUGCAAACAACUGGGUUCCAGCUGGGGACGUCAGGAGGCUCCAUCCAUUUCCUAUGCAGCCACUUCACGGAUAAGAGGGGGGUGAUGGGGGUAGGCCCAUGUCAAAAUACUGUUCUGCCUGCUUUUUUUUUUUUUGCAAGCAAGAAAAGCAUCUUAGGUAAUGAAAACUGGAAGUCUCUUAUUACUGAAAGUAAUAAGAAAAAGCUAAGAAUACAAGAAGCUAUAAUUUUGUUAAACUUUUUAUCCCUCAGAAGGAGGAAACCAGAAGUGGCAUUGAGAAAAAAGCAAGGAAUAAGUAGAUGGCUGUACUGCUCCAGCAUGCUGACUGAACCCAGAGAGCUUUCAGUAGGAGAAACACGAACCAGAAUUGCCAGUCAGAAGUGCAACAGGAAGAGCAAGCUGAGAUGACAAACAGGGAAUGGAUGCAGGCGCACAGCUGGUGUCUUGUUUGAGUCGAUAUUGCUUCCUCAGCUCCUUGCAGCGAAGGACAUACAAGCAUGUGGUGUCUACAGUGCUGUCCAGGUGACAAACUGUCCAUCUGCUCAAUGUACCUACUGAUAAUCUGGACUGAUUAGUCUGAACUGGAGUCCACAGAAGCCUCAUGCUGUGUAACAUCUGAUAUAACUCUCCCUUUGUUGUUCCAAGUGUUGCUUGUCCUUCCUGUGGCUGUCAGGGAUGUAGGAGCUGUAGCAGACUCCCUGCUGGACCUGUGGUGCUGAGGCAUUUCGUUGUGAGUUGAGCCAAAGGCACUUGUGUGCAGUGUAACAGGACAAGCUAGCAUCACCUUGUCUGGAUCACCGGCCUUCUCUGAGUGGCUUUUUGUGUGCUGUGGCCUUGAUGAAGUCAGUUCUCAGUGAACGGCAAGGCAUGAAAACGACAUGGGUAAAACUAGGCUUCUGUUAUUAUAAUCAACAGAGAAAACUUUUAGACGGAUUCAAGUUGGACAGAGCAUAAAACAGAAACCAAAAUAGACUGAAGCAACAUCUUCACCACAACUUCUGUCCCUCUGUCAGUAAUGAGGGAAAGUGGAGUGUCUCAGUGUCCAAGGACCAGUGACUUGGCUCAGGUCUAUCUGCCAAAACUAGUUGAAGGAGGUUAUCUCUGGACUGUGAAAUUGGCCUUCCUUGGUGACUCUGGUUCACUUUUGUGACUUUUGCUCCAUGGGACAUUCUUAGAAGGCAUUCAUCAUAGGGAUGUCUAAUGGCAUAUCAGGAUGUCUGUGUUAUUAUCAGAAUGAUGUUUGUUGUUUCUUUAAUGAUCAGCACUGGAUGGUCAUAUAAAUAUUGCCUAUGGGAUUACUAGGACCCCACAGUGUAUCUUGUUAUGUCUUCACAUCCUUCACUUGCAUAGCCAUAGCAAUUGCUGUCUUAAGUGUCAAAUCAGUAGCAAGCUGUAGUUUUUCUAACAU
Molecule: long non-coding RNA, 1450 nt
Filed under: Anser cygnoides (Swan goose)
Lineage: Eukaryota; Metazoa; Chordata; Aves; Anseriformes; Anatidae
Description: lncRNA (ENSACDG00005010917.1)
Source: RNAcentral